Molecule: ribosomal RNA, 425 nt
Filed under: uncultured bacterium
Lineage: Bacteria
Description: bacterial SSU rRNA
Rfam family: Bacterial small subunit ribosomal RNA
Source: RNAcentral
GGGGAAUAUUGGGCAAUGGGCGAAAGCCUGACCCAGCCACGCCGCGUGAGUGAUGAAGGCCUUCGGGUCGUAAAGCUCUGUGGGGAGGGACGAAUAAGUGCCGUGCUAACACCACGGUGCCCUGACGGUACCUCCUUAGCAAGCACCGGCUAACCAUGUGCCAGCAGCCGCGGUAAGACAGAGGAGCCAAGCGUUGUCCGGAUUGACUGGGCGUAAAGCGCACGCAGGCGGUUCGGUGCGUGGGGUGUGAAAGCAGCAGGCUUAACUUGCCGAGGCCACCUCAUACGGCCGAACUCGAGCCCUGCAGAGGUCCACGGAAUUGCCGGUGUAGUGGUGAAAUGCGUAGAGAUCGGCAGGAACACCCAGGGGGAAACCAGUGGACUGGGCAGGGGCUGACGCUCAGGUGCGAAAGCGUGGGGAGCGAA